Molecule: long non-coding RNA, 280 nt
Organism: Oncorhynchus keta (chum salmon)
Lineage: Eukaryota; Metazoa; Chordata; Actinopteri; Salmoniformes; Salmonidae
Exons: 3
Source: RefSeq, a predicted model, not a curated record
GGGGAAACCAGACAGGUGAAAGAGGGUGGGGGAACCAGACAGGUGAAAGAGGGUGGGGGAACCAGACAGGUGAAAGAGGGUGGGGGAACCAGACAGGUGAAAGAGGGUGGGGGAACCAGACAGGUGAAAGAGGGUGGGGGAACCAGACAGGUGAAAGAGGGUGGGGGAACCAGACAGGUGAAAGAGGGUGGGGGAACCAGACAGGUGAAAGAGGGUGGGGGAACCAGACAGGUGAAAGAGGGUGGGGGAACCAGACAGGUGAAAGAGGGUGGGGGAACCA